AGUGCAGAAAGGGGGUAGCGAGAGCUGCGGGCGCCGGGGUCUGCUUAAACAGAAGAGGUGCUUUGUUUAAUGUACUGAGGGGCGAUGGGGUGAAGUAUGAGCGGAGCUCUCUGCCCGGUGUCUGUGGGAUGCCGUUCGUCGACAGCGAUGUGGACCAGACUUUUGAAUGUAUUGGAUAUACGAGUGGGUCCCUGAAGAGGCGGUUGCAGGAGCGUGGGAAGGAUGUUGAGAGGGCUGCCACCGCCACGGCUUUGGCGCGGAGGGCCCUAAUUGGCGAUGUGGCUGUUGACUGGGAUGAGGCCGGACUUUUGCAGGAGCAGGAGGACCCACAUAGGGGGG
This 339-nucleotide long non-coding RNA is filed under the name Androctonus crassicauda. Lineage: Eukaryota; Metazoa; Arthropoda; Arachnida; Scorpiones; Buthidae. The record is from RNAcentral.